GAACGCUGGCGGCGUGCUUAACACAUGCAAGUCGAACGCGAAAGGGACUUCGGCCUGAGUAAAGUGGCGCACGGGUGAGUAACGCGUGGAUAAUCUGCCCUUAUGAUCGGGAUAACAGUUGGAAACGGCUGCUAAUACCGGAUACGCUCAAAAUGAACUUUUUGAGGAAAGAUGGCCUCUGCUUGCAUGCUAUCACGUAAGGAUGAGUCCGCGUCCCAUUAGCUUGUUGGCGGGGUAACGGCCCACCAAGGCAACGAUGGGUAGCCGAUUUGAGAGGAUGAUCGGCCACACUGGAACUGAAACACGGUCCAGACUCCUACGGGAGGCAGCAGUGGGGAAUAUUGCGCAAUGGGCGAAAGCCUGACGCAGCGACGCCGCGUGAGGGAUGAAAGGUUUUCGGAUCGUAAACCUCUGUCAGAAGGGAAGAAACUACGUUGUGCUAAUCAGCAGCGUACUGACGGUACCUUCAAAGGAAGCACCGGCUAACUCCGUGCCAGCAGCUGC
RNAcentral lists this ribosomal RNA (504 nucleotides) under uncultured bacterium. RNAcentral's name for it is "bacterial SSU rRNA". It matches the Rfam family "Bacterial small subunit ribosomal RNA", at positions 31 to 518 of the family's 1533-position model. The record is from RNAcentral.